UGGGCUCGUGGUCUAGCUGGUUAUGACAUCGCCUUCACACGGCGAAGGUCCGGAGUUCGAAUCUCCGCGAGCCCAUC
This 77-nucleotide transfer RNA is filed under the name Candidatus Methanoperedentaceae archaeon GB37. RNAcentral describes it as "Candidatus Methanoperedenaceae archaeon GB37 tRNA-Val". It matches the Rfam family "tRNA". From Rfam's summary of the family: Transfer RNA (tRNA) molecules are approximately 80 nucleotides in length. Their secondary structure includes four short double-helical elements and three loops (D, anti-codon, and T loops). Further hydrogen bonds mediate the characteristic L-shaped molecular structure. tRNAs have two regions of fundamental functional importance: the anti-codon, which is responsible for specific mRNA codon recognition, and the 3' end, to which the tRNAs corresponding amino acid is attached (by aminoacyl-tRNA synthetases). tRNAs cope with the degeneracy of the genetic code in two manners: having more than one tRNA (with a specific anti-codon) for a particular amino acid; and 'wobble' base-pairing, i.e. permitting non-standard base-pairing at the 3rd anti-codon position. The record is from RNAcentral. RNAcentral also lists the same sequence under 1 other name. Lineage: Archaea; Methanobacteriati; Methanobacteriota; Methanomicrobia; Methanosarcinales; Candidatus Methanoperedentaceae.